AGAGUUUGAUCCUGGCUCAGGACGAACGCUGGCGGCGUGCCUAAUACAUGCAAGUCGAGCGGACCGACGGGAGCUUGCUCCCUCAGGUCAGCGGCGGACGGGUGAGUAACAUGUGGGUAACCUGCCUGUAAGACUGGGAUAACUCCGGGAAACCGGGGCUAAUACCGGAUGCUUGAUUGAACCGCAUGGUUCCAAUCAUAAAAGGUGGCUUUUAGCUACCACUUACAGAUGGACCCGCGGCGCAUUAGCUAGUUGGUGAGGUAACGGCUCACCAAGGCGACGAUGCGUAGCCGACCUGAGAGGGUGAUCGGCCACACUGGGACUGAGACACGGCCCAGACUCCUACGGGAGGCAGCAGUAGGGAAUCUUCCGCAAUGGACGAAAGUCUGACGGAGCAACGCCGCGUGAGUGAUGAAGGUUUUCGGAUCGUAAAACUCUGUUGUUAGGGAAGAACAAGUACCGUUCGAAUAGGGCGGUACCUUGACGGUACCUAACCAGAAAGCCACGGCUAACUACGUGCCAGCAGCCGCGGUAAUACGUAGGUGGCAAGCGUUGUCCGGA
Molecule: ribosomal RNA, 561 nt
Filed under: Bacillus sp. ED3(2012)
Lineage: Bacteria; Bacillati; Bacillota; Bacilli; Caryophanales; Bacillaceae
Description: bacterial SSU rRNA
Rfam family: Bacterial small subunit ribosomal RNA
Source: RNAcentral